This 28-nucleotide small RNA is filed under the name Bombyx mori (domestic silkworm). Its description in RNAcentral is "ovarian small RNA-26528". The record is from RNAcentral. Lineage: Eukaryota; Metazoa; Arthropoda; Insecta; Lepidoptera; Bombycidae.
UCCAAGAGAGACUGAGGUAUAUACGCUU